Long non-coding RNA from Colossoma macropomum (tambaqui), 1090 nucleotides. RefSeq lists it as uncharacterized. The transcript has 2 exons. The record is from RefSeq and is a predicted model, not a curated record. NCBI's taxonomy places the organism in Eukaryota, Metazoa, Chordata, Actinopteri, Characiformes, Serrasalmidae.
GUCAUAGGACUGCAGGCAACUAGGAACAAAACAGUUAAGGACUACUGUUCGGAUUUUAUUGCAGUCUUCUGGGUGCCUGACAGCAAUGCCAUUACGAAGAAGCAUCUCUACGUACGGUGGCCAGAAGGAGUCAUCGAGAGCCACAUAGGGCUCAUGAGGAGUCUCCAAUGUUUUGUUUGUUAACUGCUGUAUGAGAAGAAUAUACAAAUGAAUGAUUGACAGGUGACAAGAGCACACUACUACAUACAACUACAUGCUGUUGUGCAAUAUCUUAGGUUCAAAACCAUGAAUGAAGACACUCAGACAAACCUCAAGAAUCUCACUCAGUGAGAUAAGGUCUGCACCAGAAUCUGGGACAGUGCCCUGCAGAAGAAAAACAAAGCAUGCAGUGAUGCUGCAGAAACAUUGUAGCAUCAGGCUCAAAUUAGUUUCCCCAGUCUGAUUUUAAAUUAAUAAAUCUCUAAAAUGAUGUGAAUAUUGUUUGCACUGGACUAUCAAUGCAAGUCAGAUUUGUACCCAUUACAAUCUUUAUUAUGUUGACUUGUUAACUUUUUGUCUGGUCUUGUCAUGUUUAGUCCGCCCCUCAGUGUUGAAUGUGAUGUAGUAUUACCUGAAUGCUUUGCCUGUAUAGCCAUUUAUAUGUACAUCUAUACUAAUCUUGACUGAAAACCUUGUAUCUCCAUUUUUGUUGUUUUUCAGUUUUUGACAUAAUUUGAAAAUGCCUGUUGCCCUUUACAAUGUUUGUAAAUUUUAUGAUGAAUGGACCAAAAGAAAUGGCCCAAAAUGACUUGGAAAAAAGUCUGGUUCCAUUGACUUACAUUGAAAGUAAAGUAUGUUUUGUCCCUUUCCUGUAAAUUUACCAUUCUGGAGAUGCGAGGUUUUCUUCUGACGGUAACAAUAUGCUUAAGUAUGUUUGUCUGUGGACCCUGUCCAUGUCACAUUUCUGAACAAAUUACUAGUAAUGCAAUUAUAUUAUGACUGUAUUACACUACACACCACUUGUAUGCAAAAGUUUCAGGACCUUUGGUCAAAUGGGCUGCUUUGUUGACUUUCUUCUAAGUGAAAAUAAAUACACAUUCUCUACAAAGAA